UACAGGGGGUGCAAGCGUUGCUCGGAAUACUGGGCGUAAAGCGAGCGCAGGCGGCCGAUUAAGUCAGAGGUGAAAGCCCGGGGCUCAACCCCCGGAAAUGCCUUUGAAACUGGUAGGCUUGAAUGCAGGAGAGGGUCGCGGAAUUCUUGGUGUAGAGGUGAAAUUCGUAGAUAUUCGCAAGAACACCAGUGGCGAAGGCGGCUC
This 204-nucleotide ribosomal RNA is filed under the name uncultured bacterium. RNAcentral describes it as "partial 16S ribosomal RNA". It matches the Rfam family "Bacterial small subunit ribosomal RNA", at positions 524 to 727 of the family's 1533-position model. The record is from RNAcentral.